This 393-nucleotide long non-coding RNA is filed under the name Mustela putorius furo (domestic ferret). RNAcentral describes it as "lncRNA (ENSMPUG00000027747.1)". The record is from RNAcentral. Lineage: Eukaryota; Metazoa; Chordata; Mammalia; Carnivora; Mustelidae.
UUUACCACAGGCUAAUACGUACAUAUCUCUAUUUUUGCAGUUGUAGCCAUUGGAAAAUUUCCAAAGAGGAAGGGAGAUCAGACAAACAUGCACAGACGAACACAAUCAAGGUAUUGUGCUAGCAGGCAUUCUAAAUCUUGGCACUAGAAGAAGCUGGCAAGGACUGCUACUUGGCCUACCGCUACUAAAGUCUGAUACUCCUAAGCUAAUGGCUGUUCUUCAAAUUUCAUCACUGGGACUUCUCACUGGUGACCAUUUGUCUCCUUCUGUCUGGCACAUGAAGACUGAACCCCUUGUGUUGGAUGAGCCUGUAUAAUAGAUCUGGUGAGUCUCACAUCAAACAUGAUGUUUUAUGUGUAGGUCAAAAUCCUCCAAAGCUUUCUGUUAUUUCUC